This is a long non-coding RNA of Mastomys coucha (southern multimammate mouse), 979 nucleotides long. RefSeq lists it as uncharacterized. The record is from RefSeq and is a predicted model, not a curated record. NCBI's taxonomy places the organism in Eukaryota, Metazoa, Chordata, Mammalia, Rodentia, Muridae. The transcript is spliced from 2 exons.
AGAUUCAACCAAAAAUCAGUAGCUAUUUGAAAAAAAAAAUUAUCUCUACUAAACAUGCACAGACCUUGUUCAUUUUCCCCCUGAACAAUAUUGUAUAAUACCAAUCCAGUGUUAGAUAUUAUAUAGAGAUGUUUUUAAUACAUCGAGGCAUAGGCAGGUACAUGCCAAUGAUGAUAUUAUGCUAUUUUAAAAAUAAGGGACAUGGACACCCAUGGAUUUAGAUCCUUGAUGGGUUCUAGAACUCUGCCUCCUCAGAUACCGAGGAGAGCUCUGAUGCUUACAACAUGGCUGACAUCUGGUACUCACAUGAAGCAGUUGGAUGAUAUCAUCAGAGAAGCACUCUGUUCCUCUCCAGCGAGACCCAUAAGAUGACUGAUGUUGGAUGGAGCCAAGGAACAAGAGCCUCCAAGACCCAAUGGCAUGCAAAUGUUGAUUCUACUGCUGUUCACUAGAAGGAAUGACAGACUCGUUUGUGUUAGCUGGUCACAUGGUGCCUCUCAGACUCAUUCCUAUGGGAAUGUGGCAGAGGGUUGUACCAAGUCUAAGAAGGAUCAAGUACUCUGAUCCCAAGGGUGAAUAUUUGACCUCCUUUGAGGCAUUGGCAGCUGGAAGGAAAGAUGAGUUUUCCUGCUGCCUAUAGAAGCUCAUCUUUCAUGACAUGGUCCUAAGAAAUGAGAAAGGACCUUUAAUCCCACCUCACUUGAGUUUUACAUCAAAUUUUCAAUGUAUGUGUACAGAAGUAUGCAUGCAUCUAGCUAUCCAACAAUAUCAUUUUUCCAUGGAGAAGCAGAACUUUGGGAAAGAACAUCUUUUGAAAGAACAUUAACAAAUUGGCCGUCAGACUGAAUUAAGUAAGACCCACAAUGCCUCCCUUUCCCUUUUCCAUCUCUACCCUUACAUAUUUACUUCUGAGUACUUCCACGGAUGAUCAUGAUUGUGAUAUUCAAAACCACAAGUAGUAAAUGCAGUUGUGACUGAC